GAUGAACGCUGGCGGCGUGCCUAAUACAUGCAAGUCGAGCGAACAGAUGAGGAGCUUGCUCCUCUGACGUUAGCGGCGGACGGGUGAGUAACACGUGGAUAACCUACCUAUAAGACUGGGAUAACUUCGGGAAACCGGAGCUAAUACCGGAUAAUAUAUUGAACCGCAUGGUUCAAUAGUGAAAGACGGUUUUGCUGUCACUUAUAGAUGGAUCCGCGCCGCAUUAGCUAGUUGGUAAGGUAACGGCUUACCAAGGCAACGAUGCGUAGCCGACCUGAGAGGGUGAUCGGCCACACUGGAACUGAGACACGGUCCAGAGUCCUACGGGAGGCAGCAGUAGGGAAUCUUCCGCAAUGGGCGAAAGCCUGACGGAGCAACGCCGCGUGAGUGAUGAAGGUCUUCGGAUCGUAAUACUCUGUUAUUAGGGAAGAACAAAUGUGUAAGUAACUAUGCACGUCUUGACGGUACCUAAUCAGAAAGCCACGGCUAACUACGUG
RNAcentral lists this ribosomal RNA (497 nucleotides) under uncultured bacterium. Its description in RNAcentral is "partial 16S ribosomal RNA". It matches the Rfam family "Bacterial small subunit ribosomal RNA", at positions 28 to 507 of the family's 1533-position model. The record is from RNAcentral.